This 253-nucleotide ribosomal RNA is filed under the name uncultured bacterium. Its description in RNAcentral is "partial 16S ribosomal RNA". It matches the Rfam family "Bacterial small subunit ribosomal RNA", at positions 524 to 776 of the family's 1533-position model. The record is from RNAcentral.
UACGUAGGGGGCUAGCGUUGUCCGGAUUUAUUGGGCGUAAAGAGCGCGUAGGCGGCCUGGCAGGUCUGGUGUGAAAACUCGAGGCUUAACCUCGAGAUGUCAUCGGAAACCAUCUGGCUAGAGUCCGGAAGAGGAGAGUGGAAUUCCUGGUGUAGCGGUGAAAUGCGCAGAUAUCAGGAAGAACACCAAUGGCGAAGGCAGCUCUCUGGGACGGUACUGACGCUGAGACGCGAAAGCGUGGGGAGCGAACAGG